AUUCAGUUGAAUAUGUAGACAACCACCAGCUAAUCUCUAUUGGCUUGGAUUUUGUGGUUUGGAAAAUACUCAUCACCUGCAUUGUCCUAAUGAUUUAUAAUCAGUGGGAUCAUAAUUUGUGAGUGCUGGUUCAUCUGCAGGAACAGAGGCUCAACAUCUUGUUCAAGGGUACCAGUUGGUAAGCUCCAGAAUUUAAACUUAGGACAUGGAUUCUACUGCCUUACUCUGCUCUUCACAUCACACUGGAGCAGAAUAACUUGACUCAAGAUGGUUGGAGGAAGAGAGGUGGAAGAAGGCCGAGAAAAACAGUGAAGAUGGAAGACUUUGUUUUGGGCUCUUUCAGAAUCUCUACUCUCAAGUGGUCCAUUUUCUUGGACUACUAUCCAGAGAUAAGAUGAGAAUAAAGAGACAAAAAAAAUUGACUUCUUAUUUAAUCAGUGUGAAACCCCACUACCUAUUCAAAUUCUAGUU
RNAcentral lists this non-coding RNA (471 nucleotides) under Pongo abelii (Sumatran orangutan). The record is from RNAcentral. Lineage: Eukaryota; Metazoa; Chordata; Mammalia; Primates; Hominidae.